AUCUUUUUAGUAUAAAAAUAAAUAUAAUUGAUUUCCAAUCAAAAGAUCUUUAAAUAAGAAAAGAUA
This 66-nucleotide transfer RNA is filed under the name Urochela caudata. RNAcentral describes it as "tRNA-Gly". Lineage: Eukaryota; Metazoa; Arthropoda; Insecta; Hemiptera; Urostylididae. The record is from RNAcentral.